Molecule: non-coding RNA, 1636 nt
Organism: Neolamprologus brichardi
Lineage: Eukaryota; Metazoa; Chordata; Actinopteri; Cichliformes; Cichlidae
Source: RefSeq, a predicted model, not a curated record
GGAGUAAAGCAGUGAUCUUAGAGGAGAGACACAAACUAAAGCAUCGAUCAUAAACCACUACCAACGUCCUGAUCGAUAUCUGCAUCGAUCUGCCCACCCUUGUCUCCUGGAUCGUAGCUGAGAUCAGCGUGAACCACGUGGGUCUCUGCUCCCUGAUCUGUUUCCUGUGUUUGGAAAGAGUUCCAGCUUCAUCACGGAGUUUCUCUCGGUUUGUGGGCUCAUCUAAAGGACCAACAUGGAGCGAGAAGUCAGCGCUCUCAGGAGGCCGACAAACCUCACAGAAGAAAGGGAGAGAAAAAAUACAGCUGUGAUGAGUGUGGGAAGGGGUUUACCCGUCCUAGAGGCCUAAAAACACACCAAUCCAUCCACAGUGGAGUUAAAUCUUACAGCUGUGAGUUGUGUGAAAAAUCUUAUACCCAGGCUGGACACUUAAAAACACACCAAAUCAUCCACAGUGGUGUUAAAGCGUACAGCUGUGAUGAGUGUGGGAAAGAUUUUUCUCGAAAGGGUUCACUAAAAACACAUCAGCUUAGACACAUUGGGGAGAGACCAUUCAGCUGUGACUUGUGUGGAAAAUCUUUUAUCCUUGCUGAGUAUUUGACAAAACAUCGACGCAUCCACACUGGGGAGAGACCAUACAACUGUGACUUGUGUGGAAAGACUUUUACCCAGGCUGGAAACCUAAAAAGACACCAGUUAAUCCACAGUGGAGUUAAACCGUACACCUGUGAUCAGUGUGGUAAAGAUUUUCCUUACAGUAGCUAUUUACGGCUUCAUCAAGUUACCCACUCUGGAAUUAAGGCGUACGGUUGUGGAAUUUGUGGAAGACACUUCAGCGGCAAACAGAGCCGAAAUAAACACCUACGCAUUCACACCAAAAAUGACGUGUGCUACUGUGAUCAGUGUGGCAAACUGUUUAUGACAUACAACAGCUUAAAACAACACAUGUUUACACACGCUGAGGAGAAACUUUAUAAAUGUGACCUGUGUGAUAAGGCUUUUAAAUCUCCACGAUCCCUCAGAGUCCACCAACAGCUCCACACCAGAAAGAAACUCUACAAGUGCAGUUACUGUGAGAAGCAGAGCGACACAGAUGGAUCCAGUUCUCAACCCUGUGAGCACUGUGAUGGUGGGAAAGAGUUUCUUUGUGACCUUUGUGGAAAAACUUUCAGUAAUCGUGGGAGCCUAAGAAAACAUCAACUUAGACACACUGGAGGCAAAAUGAACUACUGCAACGAAUGUGGGAGAGGCUUCAGUACUGCAGGUGACCUAAACCUGCAUAAACGAGUCCACACAAGAGAGAAACCUUACAAGUGCAGACACUGUGAAAAAAGCUUCUCACAAUCAGCUCAUUGUAAAACACAUGAACGUACACACAUUAAAGGGAACUUCAGCUGUGACCAGUGUGACAAGACCUUCAGAAAUCUCAGUUCAUACACCACACACAAGCGAUCCCACGCUGCAAAUAAACAGUUUCACUGUUACCAAUGUGCAAAAACAUUCACUUCAUUAUCUGCUCUGUGCAAACAUCAGCGUGAUCAUGAAAGCACUCCCAUCUCUGGAUCACAAUGAAUCUGAAGAGACAGAAAGUUCCUCUUCUGGUUUCAGGGUCAGACUUAAAAACCUUGAGAUCAGG